This is a small nuclear RNA of Phyllostomus hastatus (greater spear-nosed bat), 102 nucleotides long. The record is from RefSeq and is a predicted model, not a curated record. Lineage: Eukaryota; Metazoa; Chordata; Mammalia; Chiroptera; Phyllostomidae.
GUGCUCACUUCAGCAGCACAUAUACUAACAUUUGAAUGACAGAGAUUAGCUUGGCCCUUACACAAGGAUGAUACGUUAAAAAAAGAAGGCAAAUGAAUAUAU